Molecule: ribosomal RNA, 253 nt
Filed under: uncultured bacterium
Lineage: Bacteria
Description: partial 16S ribosomal RNA
Rfam family: Bacterial small subunit ribosomal RNA
Source: RNAcentral
UACGUAGGGGCCUAGCGUUGUCCGGAAUCACUGGGCUUAAAGGGCGCGUAGGCGGUCCGCCAAGUCAGGGGUGAAAUCCUGCAGCUUAACUGUAGAAGUGCCUCUGAUACUGGCGGUCUUGAGGGAAAUAGGGGUGUGCGGAACUUCCAGUGGAGCGGUGAAAUGCGUUGAUAUUGGAAGGAACGCCGGAGGCGAAAGCGGCGCACUGGAUUUCUUCUGACGCUGAGGCGCGAAAGCUAGGGGAGCAAACGGG